UGGGGAAUUUUGGACAAUGGGCGAAAGCCUGAUCCAGCAAUGCCGCGUGUGUGAAGAAGGCCUUCGGGUUGUAAAGCACUUUUGUCCGGAAAGAAAUCCUUGGCUCUAAUACAGUCGGGGGAUGACGGUACCGGAAGAAUAAGCACCGGCUAACUACGUGCCAGCAGCCGCGGUAAUACGUAGGGUGCAAGCGUUAAUCGGAAUUACUGGGCGUAAAGCGUGCGCAGGCGGUUUGCUAAGACCGAUGUGAAAUCCCCGGGCUCAACCUGGGAACUGCAUUGGUGACUGGCAGGCUAGAGUAUGGCAGAGGGGGGUAGAAUUCCACGUGUAGCAGUGAAAUGCGUAGAGAUGUGGAGGAAUACCGAUGGCGAAGGCAGCCCCCUGGGCCAAUACUGACGCUCAUGCACGAAAAGCGUGGGGAGCAAAACAGGAUUAGAUACCCUGGUAGUCCACGCCCUAAACGAUGUCAACUAGUUGUUGGGGAUUCAUUUCCUUAGUAACGUAGCUAACGCGUGAAGUUGACCGCCUGGGGAGUACGGUCGCAAGAUUAAAACUUAAAGGAAUUGACGGGGUCAUAGCUGUUUCCU
This 587-nucleotide ribosomal RNA is filed under the name uncultured bacterium. RNAcentral describes it as "partial 16S ribosomal RNA". It matches the Rfam family "Bacterial small subunit ribosomal RNA", at positions 355 to 1375 of the family's 1533-position model. The record is from RNAcentral.